This 213-nucleotide long non-coding RNA is filed under the name Elaeis guineensis (African oil palm). RNAcentral's name for it is "long non-coding RNA (EGUI_LNC059549)". Lineage: Eukaryota; Viridiplantae; Streptophyta; Magnoliopsida; Arecales; Arecaceae. The record is from RNAcentral.
AGACCCUUUAUUAAAGUACGUAAUAUGUACUAGAGUCUAGAAAAAAUUGUAAGAUCAAAUUUGAGUAAUUCGACAUACCUUUCAAAGGCAUCUCAAUAUUUUUUUAGGCUUUUCAAGUAUGUACCUUUAAACUUUUUAAAGUUUCUUAGUUACCAACAUAUUAACCAAUUUAGUUAAGAUGCUAUAAUAUUUAUUCAUAUAAUAGUUUCAUAA